UAGAACAACACUCAUGAG
This 18-nucleotide non-coding RNA is filed under the name Mus musculus (house mouse). RNAcentral also lists the same sequence under 1 other name. Lineage: Eukaryota; Metazoa; Chordata; Mammalia; Rodentia; Muridae. The record is from RNAcentral.